This 217-nucleotide long non-coding RNA is filed under the name Elaeis guineensis (African oil palm). Its description in RNAcentral is "long non-coding RNA (EGUI_LNC049418)". The record is from RNAcentral. Lineage: Eukaryota; Viridiplantae; Streptophyta; Magnoliopsida; Arecales; Arecaceae.
UGCGGAUUCUAGCACCCACUAAGGAAUUAAAGUAAUUUCUUGGAUUGGAGGUAGAGGCUACCAAUUCGUAUAAAAUAAUGGAAGAAUCUUUAGACUAAAGUUCAAAUCUUUAGGCUUAAAAUAAUUCAUAUACUAAUAGGUCAAUUGUUCUCUUUUUAAAAAUAACUAAAAAAUAAUCACUCUCUUCACUGCUAGAUAGUGCAAAUGUUAUCAGACC